AGUGUCCAGGGGACUCUAAGGGAGCAAACAACCUGCGAUGUUCCAGGCCCCCAAGGCUCCCUCUGCUCAGUUGCUGCCUAGUGCUUCAGAGGGGUGCUUCCUCCACCCCAAAGGAAACUAAUUAGAAAGUCACCUGGUCUCUCACCUCUGGAGGAAAAACCACCUCCCAGGACCAAGCUCCUACAAUUGUUCAACUAGCCAGUUCAGAUACCUUUGUCCAGACCAUACCCCAAAACUCCUGAAACAAGGGGAAGAUGCAGUCCAUAUUGCCUGGCUUGAAGACACAGGCAUCCUAAUACCUAACAAGUCAUCCUGGAAUAUGCCUUUCCUGACUAUGACGCAGCCUGGGACCUCUGAUUCUCAAGGGUCUGAUUCUUUCAAAGAAACAGGUGUGCACUGCCUUGGACCUGAAAGAUGCAUUCUUCAGCCUCCCAUUGGCAGAGGUGCUUGUCAAUGACUGUCAUGAGAUGAAAGCUGAAACCAGAGAAACAGGUGUUCACUGUCUUGGACCUGAAAGAUACAUUCUUCAGCCUCCCAUUGGCAGAGGGUCUCAUACAGUCCAGGCUGAUCUUGAAGUUGCUAUAUUGCUGAGGAGGGUGAGUUUCUGGUCUUCCUGUCCCUACCUCCAAAGUACUGGGAUUACAGGUGUGUGCCACCACAGUUGACUGUGCAGCUGAAGCAUCAAAUCUAAUGUGUUUCUUCCUGUUUGCUGAGCUGUUUCGUUGGGCCUCAUUCUUUAUUUCCUCACACUUGGAGCUUGGCACAUUUCUGGUCAGGAGUGCAAGGGACCAAAUACCACCAGGGAAUCCUAAGGUGUGUUCUCUACCCAGAAUCCCUUUCUCUGUGACCUAAAAUUUCCUGGGAGAAGAUCAUCUUUUAUGCCUCUGUCCCUCUCACUGGUCUCUUCUGGUCACUGUGCAAGAGCAGUUGACUGACAGCCUAAAGCUGCAGUUCCUUCAUGAUCUGCAGCAGAGACCACUGUCUUCUUGGAAAGCCUCCAGCUAUUGACAGAAUAACUGGGUCACUAGGACUUGGCUGAUUGGGUCCAAAUGGGGCUAGUCUUUGCUGGCUGAGACCUGCUAUCCUCCUCUUAUAUGUCUCUCCUUUACCUCUCUUUCCAUAGAUGUCAGAGCUGAAACAUGGCCUGAAAAGUUCCCCUGCCCAGUUCUACAUCCUCUCCUUUUAUCUUUAUCCAAGUAUUCCCUCCAGUAAAUCUCUUUUGCUUCUAACUCUGUCUUGGCAGCAGCUUCCUGGAGGAGCCAACUGACACUAGGCUCCAGCCUCU
Molecule: long non-coding RNA, 1285 nt
Filed under: Cricetulus griseus (Chinese hamster)
Lineage: Eukaryota; Metazoa; Chordata; Mammalia; Rodentia; Cricetidae
Description: lncRNA (ENSCGRG00015038175.1)
Source: RNAcentral